UGGUUGGUGGUUGAACUUCGAUUUU
Molecule: non-coding RNA, 25 nt
Organism: Drosophila melanogaster (fruit fly)
Lineage: Eukaryota; Metazoa; Arthropoda; Insecta; Diptera; Drosophilidae
Source: Ensembl